Molecule: ribosomal RNA, 241 nt
Filed under: uncultured Staphylococcus sp.
Lineage: Bacteria; Bacillati; Bacillota; Bacilli; Caryophanales; Staphylococcaceae
Description: partial 16S ribosomal RNA
Rfam family: Bacterial small subunit ribosomal RNA
Source: RNAcentral
CGGACGGGUGAGUAACACGUGGAUAACCUACCUAUAAGACUGGGAUAACUUCGGGAAACCGGAGCUAAUACCGGAUAAUAUUUUGAACCGCAUGGUUCAAAAGUGAAAGACGGUCUUGCUGUCACUUAUAGAUGGAUACGCGCUGCAUUAGCUAGUUGGUAAGGUAACGGCUUACCAAGGCAACGAUGCAUAGCCGACCUGAGAGGGUGAUCGGCCACACUGGAACUGAGACACGGUCCAG